Esox lucius (northern pike) is the source of this 1545-nucleotide long non-coding RNA. Lineage: Eukaryota; Metazoa; Chordata; Actinopteri; Esociformes; Esocidae. The record is from Ensembl.
CAAACUGUAGUUAUGCUGUAGUAGUGAUUGAAUUAUAAGAUUAUGUUUUACAGUGUUAUGAGUAUGUGUCCAUUACAUCUAAACACUGUAAGAUGUAAUGGACACAUCCUCUUCAUUCAUCGGAAUAGUAGUGUCUUGAACAUAUCAAUUAGUGUUCAUUGUCUGUGUGCGAGGACACACUUAAAGGGAAAGUCUGUGCCUGUGUCUGUGUUGCAUUAGCGAUGCCUAUUUUACGGCAGCUGUUAAACCCAUCAGUGCACCUGGCCAUGGGGGAAUCCUUUUAUUGCGGACACAUGACUGAGCAUCCCCUGAAGUCCCUCUCCCCUUCGGAGGUGCAGCUGUCAGGUUAACGGGUUCCAGGGAAAGACAUAAACACGUGAAGCCCCAGAGCCAAGAUGGACACCUGCCUACUGCCAUGGUCCCUAUACAGAGUCACGGAAACAGAGCAAAUAUGGUCCCUGGACCCAGCAGCUCUGGCAGCCCCGGCCUACUGGUAUUACUCAAAACGAUGGCACGUAAUGUGUCUAAAAUACAGCAAGUAGAGAACGGGCAGUGAAGUGACAGACAGGAAUCUCUUGGAUGGAUCCAUACCUGCACUUGCGUUUCAUGUUUCAGUCAUUUAGCAAACAUUUUUAUCCAGAGAGACUUGCUCAAGGGCUCAACAUGCUUGCAUUGUAUUUUGGAUUUGACUGAUGCAAAUAUUCUUGUCACUGGCAGUAUUCUAACACAUUGUUUGGUUUGCAUUGCUUAAAUAAUAUAUUGAUGGUAACAGAGAAUGUCAGACAGAUCCAAUGAGACAUUAAACACAGUGAGAGACUGCAUUUCUUUAAAAGAUCUGCCCUAAUUACAUUUUCAUCUGAAAUAUGUGAGAAGAUAGAAUGUGGAUUCUAUUGGAGUAAUGCUGGGACAGAGGCAGUACUAGUUUCAAGGUUUAUUUCUCAAAUGCACCAAACAACACAGCGCCAUCCUGCACAAUGAAAUUCUUGUGACAUGGCACCUGACAACUAUGUAGCAAGAAUUAACAAGAAAAUUAAAUAAGCUAAAAUAUAGCCAAACAAAAAAUAAAGCAAUAAUAUACUGUGCACUUGCAGUACUGUAAACUGGCAGCAGUCUGGGUAGUAGUAUUAAACAUUAUAGAUAUGGCAAGUAUAGCAAUACUAUACAUAACGAUGUAAUUUGGUAGAAUUAUUGAAUAUUAUAGCAUAUUAUAGAUACAUAUGAGUGUAAUAAGCUUAUGAGUUGUGGCAUAGCACAAUUCAGCAAAUUCACUUUUCAGCAAAUUUAACUUGUUUAGCUUCUAAUGUUUUUAUUGCCCCUAUAGCCCUUCUGGGACAUUUGAUGCACAAGGCCUUCUGGCACAGAGCUGAUUGUGAGCUACCUACCACGAUUCCAGCAUAUUGCAGCCUUACCAUUGUAAAGCAGUCUGGGUUGAGUAGCCGAUGCUAAUGCGAACAAUUAUUCUACACUUAUUACAGUGUAUUAUAUUUAACAGUUAUAUUGUUCGGUCUACUUGUGCGUUCAAUAAAACCUUAUUUGAAACAGACA